AUGCUGUGUUUAGUUCAUAAGAAUGGAGAAAGAAGAAGGGUAAAUCUAUUUUGGGAGCAUUAAGAGAUUCAAAUUGGUUGUUUAUGGGGGUUGGGGUAUUGAUGACAAUGGCAAUCUUGUAAUUACCUGAAGAUGAUGAGGGUGAAAGAGUAAAAAUGCCAUUUUCGAAAGAAAAAAAAUAUGAUGGUAUUUUCGUAAAUUAUAUGAACUUGUGGGGUGAAUAGGGCAAAACUAAUUUCCAAAAAAAAGAGAGGUUAGUUUUGUGUUUGACUUUGAGUUCUAGGUCAAUUUUGCAAAAAGCCAUAUAAUAAAUACUCAUAACAAAGUAAAAUAACUACAUUACUUAGAAAUAUUUUAAUGGUGAAACAAGUAUACACUAUUUCGAAAAAUAAAAAAUUAAAACUAAAACAAAAAAUAGUAAGAAAUUUAAACAAAAAUAAAUUAAGCAUUACAAAAUUUUCAUUAAAUUUAUGUAUAUUUAUAUUAUUUUAUGCAUAUAAUUACUCGCUAGUAAGGCAGGUUUAGUCAUUGUAAAUAUAUAUAACACCACUAAAUAAAAGCAAAAUAUAUCAUCAUUCAAACUAUCUGAAUAGUGUAUUACGCCGCAACGAAACUGAGACAGAAAAUGAAUCUCUUUAUAACAAACAAGUUCAAUGGAAAGGAACAGUAAAAAUUAAGAAGAGAAAUAACAAAAAUAAUGAUUUACACAUAAUAAAAAACCAAACAUUUUAAGGUAAAAACAAGGGUUGCCUGCCUAUUCCCCCCUCAAACACAUUUACCCUACUUAUUCCCCCCCAAACUAUUAAGCUCUUCAUAAAUCCACCCAAACAUAAACUUUCUCUUUAAAUCUCCCCCUAAACUCUUUUUACCUCCCUCUCUAAUCAAUUUCGAAAUCAAAAUUAAAAGAAUUAAAAGUGCGUUUAGAAAACAGUGAUUGCCCAAUUUAAGAAAACCAGACCCGAUCCGGCGUUUGAAAACCCGACCCAGACUUAACUUAAAAACAAAAACAAAUUGGAGAUUUAAUUAAAAUCAGAAUCAAAUUGGGGCUUCGUGUUUUUUUUUUUUUUUUUGCCCCAACACAGAACAACGACUGAAGAGACGAAUUGGGGAUACUGAAAUUAGGGUUUGUCGCAGUGCUCAUGACACAAACGAAGAAGAUGUCAGAGAAAGAGAAGAGAAUCCAGAGGAGAGAGAGACAGUGAGGAACGACGAUGUUGAAGGGGCUGUUGUUGUUAAUGUAUUUGUACUCAUGUUUGGUUUUGUGGCAGGGCAGGUUCUUCUCAUGUCCAUGAAGAGAUCAGACUUACACAACCUACUCAAUCUAUUCAAGCUCAUGACUAGUAGUUCUUUUGUUGUAGUUUAAAACUCAAAACUUCCUUUUUAAUGUCCUUUGUGGCUUUUGUUGUUCUUUAAAACUCUUGGUCGAAUGUACUUGGUGUCUUUUCUUGUGGUUAAAACUUGUCCUACAUAAGAACUUCAACAGAAAACAGUAGAAGAAAAAGACAUCUCAAAAUUAAGAGACAUAGAAAAAAAA
RNAcentral lists this long non-coding RNA (1534 nucleotides) under Brassica napus (rape). RNAcentral's name for it is "long non-coding RNA (BNAP_LNC005449)". Lineage: Eukaryota; Viridiplantae; Streptophyta; Magnoliopsida; Brassicales; Brassicaceae. The record is from RNAcentral.